Molecule: unclassified non-coding RNA, 257 nt
Filed under: Hevea brasiliensis (rubber tree)
Lineage: Eukaryota; Viridiplantae; Streptophyta; Magnoliopsida; Malpighiales; Euphorbiaceae
Source: RNAcentral
UUUCCAUAUGACUAAACAAUAGUGCACCUUGGCCAGUUUACUUAACAUGCUAGUAAUUGCCCAAAAGAAUAUGCCAGGUAAUAAAGGAAAUGAGGUAGCUUUGGUUGCAUCUUCCUGUUUGGCUGGAAAGUCCAGAAAGAAGAGGGGCAACAAGAAUAAGAGAUCUCCUGUUCCAGGUCCUUCCAAGAAAAUAGCCAAGCAGAAGAAGACCGAAGCUGGGCAAGGCAAAGGAAAGUGUUGCCACUGCUAGAAUGAUG